Molecule: long non-coding RNA, 328 nt
Organism: Sebastes umbrosus (honeycomb rockfish)
Lineage: Eukaryota; Metazoa; Chordata; Actinopteri; Perciformes; Sebastidae
Exons: 3
Source: RefSeq, a predicted model, not a curated record
ACGUCAAGUAUCGAUCUUUUAUUAUAUAAACUAUUAACCUCUUAACAAUCCGACGGCAGGCCCAGCAGUUAUUCUGUCUUUCAAAGAUUGUAGCGUCCUCAGUUUUAAAGUGAUCCUGGUAUCAUAUGAAACUAGAAAACCUAAGGAAUCGAUGGUACCAACCAUGUCACGCUAGUUUGUCGGGAAUAACGCUCCAAAUUUAUGCUAAAUUUUGACGAGCAAAAAUUGGCAUGGCAAUUUUCAAAGGGUUGACCGCUGACCUCAAGAUAUGUGAAUGAAAAUGAGUUCUACGAGUACCCACGAGUCUCCCCUUUACAGACAUGCCCAC